CAGUAGCCACGGUAAUACGUAGGGUGCGAGCGUUAAUCGGAAUUACUGGGCGUAAAGCGUGCGCAGGCGGUGAUGUAAGACAGAUGUGAAAUCCCCGGGCUCAACCUGGGAACUGCAUUAGUGACUGCAUCGCUGGAGUGCGGCAGAGGGGGACGGAAUUCCGCGUGUAGCAGUGAAAUGCGUAGAUAUGCGGAGGAACACCGAUGGCGAAGGCAAUCCCCUGGGCCUGCACUGACGCUCAUGCACGAAAGCGUGGGGAGCAAACAGGAUUAGAUACCCCCGUAGUCCCUGUCUCUUAUAA
RNAcentral lists this ribosomal RNA (301 nucleotides) under uncultured bacterium. RNAcentral's name for it is "partial 16S ribosomal RNA". It matches the Rfam family "Bacterial small subunit ribosomal RNA", at positions 509 to 809 of the family's 1533-position model. The record is from RNAcentral.